This is a long non-coding RNA of Hermetia illucens (black soldier fly), 460 nucleotides long. RefSeq lists it as uncharacterized. The transcript has 3 exons. NCBI's taxonomy places the organism in Eukaryota, Metazoa, Arthropoda, Insecta, Diptera, Stratiomyidae. The record is from RefSeq and is a predicted model, not a curated record.
CAGAUAGAGUAAAAUUUUUAUUUACAAAUCAUUGUCCGUUUGGUACGCAACAAAAUCGAUGUCUACCCAUCGAAGGCUAUCUUCAAUCAAAUCAAAUUUCCGUCUAUAAAUUUUUCUGGUACAAGCAAGUAUUAAAUAUUAAACAGGCAAUAAAAAUACAUUUAACUGACAGGAAAAAACGAAAAAAAAAGAUUGUAGAGUCAAACAAUUUCCGAACGAGCAAAUAUCUCAUCACAGCAGGUGUAUUGGAUUUCUUAAGAUUCUCUUAAGAUUUCUCAAGAAGUCUACGAUGUUAUCCAAUAGGAUGUCAGCGGAUAGUACAAGUGAAGCGUGAUGGAGUAAAAUGGAGUGUCGACUGUUAAAAGAUUGACGGUUUAAUUCUCACAAAUGUUCAAAUUGGGAACAUGAAGACAAAUCGGGAUGAGAGCGGCAAUGUAAUUUUCAGAGGUGCUGACGGGCA